RNAcentral lists this long non-coding RNA (523 nucleotides) under Mytilus galloprovincialis (Mediterranean mussel). The record is from RNAcentral. Lineage: Eukaryota; Metazoa; Mollusca; Bivalvia; Mytilida; Mytilidae.
UGUACUCGGGAAAAUACUUGUUACUCACAAAUAUCCGUCAUUAUGGUCGAAAAACGUCUUAUUUUUAAAAAAUGGAAAAAGGAUGUCGGCAACACAUCGAAUAUCGAAGGAUGUCGGGGACACACUAAUAUAUACUAUUUUUAACACAUAUGUUAUUCAACAUGUGACUAGAUCUAAUUUAAAACUAAUGGUCAUGACAAGCCGCAAAUCAAAUUUAAACUUGUGCAGGCGGAAACGAUCGCGAAUACAAUCUGAUGUUGAACAGCCGACCAGAUCGCCCACUAAAUCGCCACCCGUAAAAAAAUCAAAACCAUGCAAAUCCUCAUUUGUCAUCAAAAUAAAAACGCCUGGCAAAAAUAUUAAGUUUCCCCAAUGUCAAUUACUGAAGAAAUUUCAACAAAACCGCCAGUAGACUUGAGCAAAUGUCACGAUAGAGGACCAACAGGGCCAUGCAUACGAUUGUUUGCAGAUCAACUUCAAAACGACAUGUUACAUGAAAUGGAACAUGAAAUAAAGGAUCCCC